Molecule: long non-coding RNA, 691 nt
Filed under: Lonchura striata (white-rumped munia)
Lineage: Eukaryota; Metazoa; Chordata; Aves; Passeriformes; Estrildidae
Description: domestica (Bengalese finch) lncRNA (ENSLSDG00000006789.1)
Source: RNAcentral
AUGGCACACCCCGCUUUACUCCAGCACUUCAUCCUUCCCCAUCGCACCGUCUUUCCCCUGUUCAUCUCCACCCGUACCCCAGGUCCCUUCCCCGCCCCACCAUGUCCCGCCGCAGGUGCCCGGGUCCCUCAGGACGCUGUGGCGGUGCCCGUGUCCCUCGGGAUGCGAUCCCGCGUCCCUCGGGACGCCGGCGCCCGGGUCCCUCAGGCGGCCGCGGCCCCGCCCGCAGCCCCGGCGCAGGCGCAGCUCGGGCCGGGCGCUGCCGUAAAGCGGCGCGGCGGCGGUUCCGGGAGCGGCGGUAACAAAAACCAAACAAACCAAAAAGAUCACACAAGGACAGAGUUCACUGAAAUGUGAGAAUGGCCAAUUCUUUAAGAGGUGAAGUGAUAAAACUGUACAAAAAUCUGCUGUACCUUGGAAGGGAGUAUCCCAAAGGAGCAGACUACUUCAGAAGCCGUUUGAAAGCAGCUUUUCUAAAAAACAAAGAUGAGACAGACCCUGCAAAAAUUAAGCAGCUGAUUGCCCGGGGAGAGUUUGUUAUAAAGGAGCUGGAGGCUUUGUACUUCCUGAGGAAAUACCGAGCCAUGAAGAAGCGCUACUACAGUGACGACAAGCCCUGACUGUGCUGCCUGUAACCACACACAUCCAGGAAAGGUAACAAUAAAAGAGCUCUAACUGCAAAGAAGUGACA